AUGUCAUAGCGACUUUUGGGGUAGUUUGCUUUCGGCAAAGGGGGACAAAGUCAUGGGGUGAGAGGGAAGGAGGACCCAAAACAGCCUCCAAGACCCUCACCAUCUCUUCACCGGCUCCCCCUCCCCCCCCACAGGUCCUGUAAGAAGUUGGGCCCAGCUGGAAGGGAUUGACCGACGCCUCUUCGCCCUAGGCUGGCCUCUGCGGAGAUUCCAGGCCCCACAGAGACCAGGACUUCCCUCAGCGCCACCGCCCCUCGUGCCAAUGCAGCCGGGAAAUCGCCAUUACCCACACUGGGCAAGAGAAACCGCACGGGGGCAAUCGGAGAGGCCAGGAAAAGGGAGAGAUGGAGGGAGAAGGUUCCAGGUUGGCCGUACUCAGGAGCAGGCCGAACGGCCCAGAGGAAGCCCUGGCGUCCGGUGCUGCCAGGCUCACUGCGGACGCACCCCAGCCCGGUAAACUCACUGUCGCUCGCCGGGACUGGUUUCCCUUCAAUUUAAAAAUUUCAUGUGGAUCGCCCAUGCCAAUUUAGAAUGAAAUAGAUUUAAAUACAUAAAGUAAAAAUAAAUUGAAAUAAAAGCAAGG
Molecule: long non-coding RNA, 583 nt
Organism: Mus musculus (house mouse)
Lineage: Eukaryota; Metazoa; Chordata; Mammalia; Rodentia; Muridae
Gene: Hoxb5os
Product: homeobox B5 and homeobox B6, opposite strand
Exons: 3
Source: RefSeq, marked predicted